AAAAUGUAGUAAAUUUAUAUCAAAUUAUAUGUUUCUAACCAUCAAUUCAGAGGGGGAAAAAAAAAGCUUUCACUCGAAUGCCUUGAUCUUAUUAACCCUACACAACAUAAUAAUAUAUGAUCCUUUAAAAAGACCGUUUAAUUCAAAGAAAGAGGAAAUAAAAUUAGGUGAAAAAUAGUGAAGCCAAAGCUAAAAUACUUCAUUCGAAAGAACUCUCCCCUUCUUCAAUUACUAAAAUCAGAAAACAACAAAGUUCACAACUUUCUUUUACUUCUCUUCUCGUUUCGUAUUUCCCACCGUUUCUCAG
RNAcentral lists this unclassified non-coding RNA (307 nucleotides) under Hevea brasiliensis (rubber tree). Lineage: Eukaryota; Viridiplantae; Streptophyta; Magnoliopsida; Malpighiales; Euphorbiaceae. The record is from RNAcentral.